AACGAACGUUAGCGGCGCGCCUAACACAUGCAAGUCGAGCGAGAAAGGGGCAACCCCGGUAAAGCGGCGCACGGGUGAGUAACACGUAGGUAAUCUACCCUCGGGUGGAGGAUAACUUUCCGAAAGGAAGGCUAAUACUGCAUGAGACCACGGUUCCGGAAGGGAUUGAGGUCAAAGCCGGCCACUGUACACAAGCUGGCGCCUGAGGAUGAGCCUGCGGCCCAUCAGCUAGUUGGUAGGGUAAUGGCCUACCAAGGCGAAGACGGGUAGCUGGUCUGAGAGGAUGAUCAGCCACACUGGAACUGAGACACGGUCCAGACUCCUACGGGAGGCAGCAGUGGGGAAUCUUGCGCAAUGGGCGAAAGCCUGACGCAGCGACGCCGCGUGAGUGAU
RNAcentral lists this ribosomal RNA (393 nucleotides) under uncultured bacterium. RNAcentral describes it as "bacterial SSU rRNA". It matches the Rfam family "Bacterial small subunit ribosomal RNA", at positions 29 to 409 of the family's 1533-position model. The record is from RNAcentral.